CCUACGGGAGGCAGCAGUGGGGAAUCUUGCGCAAUGGGCGAAAGCCUGACGCAGCCAUGCCGCGUGAAUGAUGAAGGUCUUAGGAUUGUAAAAUUCUUUCACCGGGGACGAUAAUGACGGUACCCGGAGAAGAAGCCCCGGCUAACUUCGUGCCAGCAGCCGCGGUAAUGCGAAGGGGGCUAGCGUUGCUCGGAAUUACUGGGCGUAAAGGGAGCGUAGGCGGAUAGUUUAGUCAGAGGUGAAAGCCCAGGGCUCAACCUUGGAAUUGCCUUUGAUACUGGCUAUCUUGAGUAUGGGAGAGGUAUGCGGAACUCCGAGUGUAGAGGUGAAAUUCGUAGAUAUUCGGAAGAACACCAGUGGCGAAGGCGGCAUACUGGCCCAUUACUGACGCUGAGGCUCGAAAGCGUGGGGAGCAAACAGGAUUAGAUACCCUGGUAGUCCACGCUGUAAACGAUGAGUGCUAGUUGUCGGCAUGCAUGCAUGUCGGUGACGCAGCACGCAUAAGACGACUCCGCCGUCGGGGAGGUACGGUCGGUCGAAGAAGUUAAACUUAACGUAAAGAAGUUAGAGGCGNGAGAGNGCGACGGACGACGACGAGGGAGGAGG
This 606-nucleotide ribosomal RNA is filed under the name uncultured bacterium. RNAcentral describes it as "bacterial SSU rRNA". The stretch from base 1 to 516 matches the Rfam family "Bacterial small subunit ribosomal RNA", at positions 338 to 873 of the family's 1533-position model. The record is from RNAcentral.